GCACUGCUGAGUAGUCCCACAAUAGGAUGAAACAGCUGUCCAGUAC
Non-coding RNA from Schistosoma mattheei, 46 nucleotides. The record is from Rfam. Lineage: Eukaryota; Metazoa; Platyhelminthes; Trematoda; Strigeidida; Schistosomatidae.